This 497-nucleotide ribosomal RNA is filed under the name uncultured bacterium. Its description in RNAcentral is "partial 16S ribosomal RNA". It matches the Rfam family "Bacterial small subunit ribosomal RNA", at positions 28 to 507 of the family's 1533-position model. The record is from RNAcentral.
GAUGAACGCUGGCGGCGUGCCUAAUACAUGCAAGUCGAGCGAACGGACGAGAAGCUUGCUUCUCUGAUGUUAGCCGCGGACGGGUGAGUAACACGUGGAUAACCUACCUAUAAGACUGGGAUAACUUCGGGAAACCGGAGCUAAUACCGGAUGAUAUUUUGAACCGCAUGGUUCAAAAGUGAAAGACGGUCUUGCUGUCACUUAUAGAUGGAUCCGCGCUGCAUUAGCUAGUUGGUAAGGUAACGGCUUACCAAGGCAACGAUGCAUAGCCGACCUGAGAGGGUGAUCGGCCACACUGGAACUGAGACACGGUCCAGACUCCUACGGGAGGCAGCAGUAGGGAAUCUUCCGCAAUGGGCGAAAGCCUGACGGAGCAACGCCGCGUGAGUGAUGAAGGUCUUCGGAUCGUAAAACUCUGUUAUUAGGGAAGAACAUAUGUGUAAGUAACUGUGCACAUCUUGACGGUACCUAAUCAGAAAGCCACGGCUAACUACGUG